AUAUCCCAUUAAUUGAACAACUUAUAUGUCCAAUAUAAGUUGGUCUAUCAUCAUUGUCAUGUCUAUCAUCAUUGCCUUUAUCAUUGCCUUUAUCUACCUCCCAAUAAUUCACAAGACAUUUCCUCAUUAUUUAAAUUGGAGAAUAAAAAUAGCAUAAUAGUAGUCUAAAACCAUCAAGCAAUCACUAGAAAUUACGCGUUUAUUAGUUCCCGUGUCCCUUGGUUAAUAUGGGUUAAGGAAGAGAUUGGCAUCAACUUUUACAGGUAAGAACAAAUCGCAUAACGUUCACGUAAGAAGAGUACUGUGUAAUUUGUUUUCAGUUAUUGUAGAAAGGCUAAACAAGACACAAUUAGAAGAGUACUUCAGCAUAUGAUAUUAAACAAUGCGUCCAACAAAAGAUGCACUUACGUUUUCAUUUGUCCAUGAAGGGACUCCAAAAAAUACAUAUUUCGGAUUACGAAAAGCAGCUACCUGUUCAGUUGCUGGAAUUUUGUAUUCGAGGUGUUAUAAAAAGGUUAAAUAAAACACACUUUCGACAUGUGCAUAUUAAAUGGUUGGAUUUGAUAAAAGCAGCUUCAUGUUCAUUCUGUGUUGUAUCUCUGUUAUUAUAGCUUGUUUCAUGUUCUAUGAUGUCUUUGUUUACUGUUAUUGUGUCCUGAGUAGGGUGUCUAUAGGAAAUGACUUCUCUACUUCUUCGGAGAUAGUGGGUAUGGACUGUGUACAUUAUACCCUCCCCAGAUUCCACUAUGCAGGAAUAUACUGGGUUUGUUUUGUUGUAUGAUGUGCUAUGUACUUUGGAUAUCCCUAUUGUAUUUAGGAUAUUGUACGUCUUUAUUUUCUUUUAAUAUGAUGUGCUAUGUACUUUCUGCUCACCAAGUAUAUGACCUUUUGAUAGGAGGUUGUGGAGGAUACGGUUACAUUAGUAGGUUAGUAGGUAGUGGUAGUAGAGUGUGGUUUUGCGUAUCCUUCCUUAUUAGUUGUCGUAGCAUUACUUGAAUGCAUUUGUUGUUGAUAUCGCUCAUUGAGUUCUUAUGGGAGACUCCUUUAAUCCUUCCCUUGGGACAAAGUCUAUGGUCACAACUGCUAUCACUACCAAAAAUGAAUCUAAACAACACAUCCUUUCUUCUGGCUCGAACUCUUGCAAAUGUAAGACAGAUUGAUCUGAUAAAAUAUGGGAAGCAGAGAAGGGGAAGUGGUAAUCAGUUAGUUUUGUUUCUGGUUAAAGUUGCUGCCUUGAAGGCUGUGCGGAGGAUUUCAAGGUCCAAAUGUCCAUUGGUAUGGUCUGGCCGGCAAGCUCUGCAAGUUGUGUGCUACCCCCUAUUAAAUGGAUUCAAAACAAAGGUGGAAUCCAUUUAGGGUUCUGGUUGAAGGCAUGUAGGUUAGUAUGCAGUUGUAAAAUUCAAAUGAACUAGUGUUGAGUCUCGUGAACUCCUCUAGGUGCAUACAGUUAUUUUGGAAACUGUUGUACUUGCCUGUGUCAAUGGGUACAUCAAUUUUGCAUAAUUGAGAAAGAAGUAUAUGAUUAUGAUCUUCUCGUGAACUCCUCUAGGUGCAUACAAUCAUUCUGGAAAAUGUUGUCUUGCCUGUGUCAAUGUGUGCAUCAAUUUUGCAUAGUUGUGAAAGAAGUAUAUGAUCCUAAUUCCUAUAUCAUCUGAUAUAAGGGGAUUAUCUAGUGCUGCUGCUUUUCAUUUGUGGGUUUAUACACAGAGACGAGAGAAACAACAUAAGACAAAGUAGAGUUAUGCUUGUAUAAAGUUUUACAUAUUAAAUCCACUUAAUUUAUGAUUAUAAUCAAAGAAGCCCACGGAGCGGUGCCAGUUAGUGCUUCGCUCCUUCCGCUAAGACUGCUGUGUUGUUUUUUUGAACGGGAAUAUUUUAUAGAUAUAUGUUGGUCUAUUUUAUAGGUUCCAUUAGCUUCAAAACAAGGAUGAACUUAGCAUAAAUGUAUUCUGCUAUGGAAUGUUGACUGUUGCAUAUUACAGGUAGCAGUACUCUUUUUGUAAGAUAAUACUAUAGCCAAUUGGAAAGCUAAUUUAGUACUUAAAAUUGUCCUUUGAGGCCCUUCUAUGUAUUAAGGAUCAAUUGAAUAUAAUUGAUAAAGAACAGAGGCAUAUCUAGUGAGAAAUAUAUUCUUUUUCUGUUUCUAUCACGCAUCAGUAUAUUUGUGAGAGAGUUUAAAUAAUACUUAACUUACCUUUUGUUCAGUGCAUGCAUCCCAGCGACCAUGUAGUUGGUUCCCUCCCAAGUAAAGAGAAUGCAAAGAUAUUUUUUCCGGUUCCUGAGAGAGUUCAAUGUAACAGACGGCUAUUUCUUUUCCUUGUUAUUCAAUCCAUGAACCCAUUUUAAAGUGAUCCUAAUCCUUGUGAAGUUGAACUACAACUCUCACUUGAUGUUUCUAUAGUAAGAGCAUGAGCGUAAAACAUACCUGUGUUGUGUAUGUAAAAGCUUCUGUACAAGCAGAAUGAAUAUAUUACAUCUUUAUGUAGCCUCCCAGUCUUGUCUAAGUUUUUAGUUUUUUUUUUUUACAUUCCCUUUUGUAACAAAUGUCUGAAAUUGUAAUUGUAACACCAUAGAAAUUAUUAAGUGGAUAACUAAUACAUAUAUACAGCUACAGGCGAUUUUUUUCUUGCUUCCUUAUGUUGGAAAUAGAAAUAGCUAUCAUAUGUUACUGAUUUACUUGGGUAUAUACAUAUAAUAUGCUAGAACCUCUUUCCAGCUUUUAGGACGAUACAAGGGAUUUAGCGUGUGAUGUCUUAAGUUACAUGUUUCUUUUUCAAUUGCUUCUGGAUUUAUUUCUAUAAACCAUUGUUGGAUUUAUCCCUAGACAUAUAAGCAACCAACCCAACUCAGAGCAAGGUUUUGAGACUGAAUUGGUAAGUUGAUGAGUUGUACGACUUUCAUGCUCUUGGAGGGUUAGCAAUGAAGUCUCCUAAAGUCUGUCUUCCACUAGUUCCGCAAGUUGGUUGCAUCUGCUCAACAAAGAACUGGAAAAGCAAGGAAUUUUCUUACCAGAGAGGAUCAAGAUGAAACGAUUGAAGAUUGAAAAUGAGGACGGAUCAACCGGAAAGAGUACUAUGUAUACAUUUGUCACACCUUGAAUAAAGAUAGAACAUAUUUCUUUCUAUAUUUUGCAGGCUCAAAUAGAAGAAAUUGUGAAUGCAGAGCCAUCUUUAUCUAGCAUAGAGAUUGUUGAAAAGUGUUUUGGACCUCAAAAUCGUAGCCAUGUUGUUGCCUUUGGGGAUUCUGAAGAUUAUUGAAGGCAAAUGAAGAUGCAAGCUUUGAAGAUGCACAAACUCAUUAUUAUUUUUCUAUGUAUGCAAAUGUUAUGAAAAAUUUGAUAUUAUAUACUCUAGCUCGAUCGGAAUGGUAAUUAAGUUUUUUGUGAAACAAAUAUUGAAACUAUUUAAUAUCAUGGGAUGUUAACUAAAUAUUUUGAUCUAUAAUUAUAUCAUGCUUUUGUAUCGAGAUUCUCGAUAGCAAUUUGAUAUUUAUUUUAUGAAAUUUAUUAUUUUGUGAU
Molecule: long non-coding RNA, 3517 nt
Organism: Capsicum annuum
Lineage: Eukaryota; Viridiplantae; Streptophyta; Magnoliopsida; Solanales; Solanaceae
Exons: 3
Source: RefSeq, a predicted model, not a curated record